This 492-nucleotide ribosomal RNA is filed under the name uncultured bacterium. RNAcentral's name for it is "partial 16S ribosomal RNA". It matches the Rfam family "Bacterial small subunit ribosomal RNA", at positions 30 to 507 of the family's 1533-position model. The record is from RNAcentral.
AUUGAACGCUGGCGGCAUGCUUUACACAUGCAAGUCGAACGGUAACAGGCCUUCGGGUGCUGACGAGUGGCGAACGGGUGAGUAAUGCAUCGGAACGUGCCCAGAGGUGGGGGAUAACGCAGCGAAAGCUGUGCUAAUACCGCAUGUGAUCUGAGGAUGAAAGCGGGGGACCAGGCAGCAAUGUUUGGCCUCGCGCCUUUGGAGCACCCGAUGUCGGAUUAGGUAGUUGGUGGGGUAAAGGCCUACCAAGCCGACGAUCUGUAGCUGGUCUGAGAGGACGACCAGCCACACUGGGACUGAGACACGGCCCAGACUCCUACGGGAGGCAGCAGUGGGGAAUGUUGGACAAUGGGCGCAAGCCUGAUCCAGCAAUGCCGCGUGCGGGAAGAAGGCCUUCGGGUUGUAAACCGCUUUUGUACGGAAAGAAAAGGCUCUGGCUAAUACCUGGGGCUGAUGACGGUACCGUAAGAAUAAGCACCGGCUAACUACGUG